This 207-nucleotide ribosomal RNA is filed under the name uncultured bacterium. RNAcentral's name for it is "partial 16S ribosomal RNA". It matches the Rfam family "Bacterial small subunit ribosomal RNA", at positions 568 to 774 of the family's 1533-position model. The record is from RNAcentral.
CUCGUAGGCGGUUUGUCGCGUCGAAUGUGAAAUCCCGGGGCUCAACCCCGGGCCUGCAUUCGAUACGGGCAGACUAGAGUUCGGUAGGGGAGUCUGGAAUUCCUGGUGUAGCGGUGAAAUGCGCAGAUAUCAGGAGGAACACCGGUGGCGAAGGCGGGACUCUGGGCCGAUACUGACGCUGAGGAGCGAAAGCGUGGGGAGCAAACA